Molecule: ribosomal RNA, 220 nt
Filed under: uncultured bacterium
Lineage: Bacteria
Description: partial 16S ribosomal RNA
Rfam family: Bacterial small subunit ribosomal RNA
Source: RNAcentral
UACUAGGUGUAAAGGGAGCGCAGGCGGUGCGGCAAGUCUGAUGUGAAAGCCUGGGGCUCAACCCCGGUACUGCAUUGGAAACUGUCGUACUAGAGUGUCGGAGGGGUAAGUGGAAUUCCUAGUGUAGCGGUGAAAUGCGUAGAUAUUAGGAGGAACACCAGUGGCGAAGGCGGCUUACUGGACGAUAACUGACGCUGAGGCUCGAAAGCGUGGGGAGCAA